This 67-nucleotide transfer RNA is filed under the name marine eukaryotic metagenome. It matches the Rfam family "tRNA". From Rfam's summary of the family: Transfer RNA (tRNA) molecules are approximately 80 nucleotides in length. Their secondary structure includes four short double-helical elements and three loops (D, anti-codon, and T loops). The record is from RNAcentral.
CGGGUGUAGCCUAAUGGUAGGGCGGGAGCCUUCCAAGCUCCUAGCGUGGGUUCGAUUCCCAUCACCC